This 373-nucleotide long non-coding RNA is filed under the name Olea europaea subsp. europaea. The record is from RNAcentral. Lineage: Eukaryota; Viridiplantae; Streptophyta; Magnoliopsida; Lamiales; Oleaceae.
AUGUUCCAUUUGCUAUCAAAUCUGCCUAUGGCUUUCCAUUUACAAACUUUGCAGUAACAUGAACCAAAUGACAUCUACCAGACAGUAGUAUCCAUAUGGUUGUAGAACAUGUUGAUCAUCUUAUGUUUGAUUUUAUUUCCUUGAUCAUGCUUUGCGAGUUACUGGAGCAACAAAAACCCAGUGAUAAUAAAAAAAUUAAAAUAAAGGGGAAAAUUUUUGGGAUUUACCUCCUUGUGUUCUCUCCAUGUCAAUGGUUUCAACAAUCACACUUUGCAGUCCGUCAAUUUUGGAUCAGUUUCGAUUUAGGGGUUAGAGUGCAAGGGGAUUUGGGAAUUUCAGGUUUCAGAUAUGCAUUGGUUUUUGGUGAUGGAGG